UCUCUUGGUUCUGGCAUCGAUGAAGAACGCAGCGAAAUGCGAUAAGUAGUGUGAAUUGCAGAAUUCAGUGAAUCAUCGAAUCUUUGAACGCACAUUGCGCCCUUUGGUAUUCCAAAGGGCAUGCCUGUUCGAGCGUCAUUUGUACCCUCAAGCUUUG
Molecule: ribosomal RNA, 157 nt
Filed under: Drechslera sp. CBS 115307
Lineage: Eukaryota; Fungi; Ascomycota; Dothideomycetes; Pleosporales; Pleosporaceae
Description: 5.8S ribosomal RNA
Rfam family: 5.8S ribosomal RNA (bases 1-138)
About the family: 5.8S ribosomal RNA (5.8S rRNA) is a component of the large subunit of the eukaryotic ribosome. It is transcribed by RNA polymerase I as part of the 45S precursor that also contains 18S and 28S rRNA. Functionally, it is thought that 5.8S rRNA may be involved in ribosome translocation.
Source: RNAcentral